Molecule: long non-coding RNA, 873 nt
Organism: Hyla sarda
Lineage: Eukaryota; Metazoa; Chordata; Amphibia; Anura; Hylidae
Exons: 4
Source: RefSeq, a predicted model, not a curated record
CACUCUUCCUUUGCACAGGUUUUGAUAAAUCUCCCCCUAUGUAUUGAGACUACAUGUUUUGUAGUGAACAGAUGAAUAAAAGGUCUUCCUUCAACACCAAUUAUGUUAAAAGCUAAUCUAUUAUAAGAAAUCCUUUAAUAACACAUAUAUCCAAUAUUCACAGCAGGUAUAUAGUCUAUCAAUCUAGCCCUACGAGGGAUUGUAGUCAUAGAGAUAUAGACAAUCUGCAACAACUACAGAGGAGAAAAAAAUUUUAUGGAUGACCUGUUAACACCAGGCCACCAGUCCUGCAGAACUAGUAAGAGAAAUACCCACUAGCUGCUACCACAGGACUAGGGUUGUCCGGUGGACGCCAUCAUUGUAGCCCUGCAAAGAAAGCAGACAGAGAGAACUAGAGCUGCAGCCCUGGACAUAAGAAGGAUUAAACGGCUGCCGGGGAAGAGGACUCAUUAAACGGCAAGACUGGAAUGACUAUUGACUAUUCUAAGGCCAUAACAUUCAUUAAAUGGCACAAAACAGAACACAAUCCUGGCACCUGUAAAAUGACUGAACCAGAAAAUAUUGGAAGGAUACAUGAAUUUACAUUAAAGUGCAAUGAGAACAAACCUAACCAAGCAGUUCUGUGCGUGUCUGAUAUUUUUACUUUUGUAAAGAAUAACAUAAGGAGUCUGAUAGAACAGGAGUGAGCACAGAUAAGAGCUAGUCCUGUCUUGACUUUCUGGAAUUUGUCCCUGCCUGUGUUUCAGCUUGGACAAAGAAGAUGCUGCAGCCAGACAGGAUUAUGUUCUGGAUGGUAUGGGGACUCCUAGUGGUCUUUUUCAUGAUUUCUAUAAAAAGAAGAAGCAUUUUUCAUGAAAUAUAUUAGAAAGGUUA